GCCUCGGUAGCUCAGAGGAAGAGCAGCUGGCUUUUAACCAGCGGGUCGAGAUUUCGAAAUUCUCCCGGGGUA
RNAcentral lists this transfer RNA (72 nucleotides) under Gordonia phage GodonK. It matches the Rfam family "tRNA". From Rfam's summary of the family: Transfer RNA (tRNA) molecules are approximately 80 nucleotides in length. Their secondary structure includes four short double-helical elements and three loops (D, anti-codon, and T loops). Further hydrogen bonds mediate the characteristic L-shaped molecular structure. tRNAs have two regions of fundamental functional importance: the anti-codon, which is responsible for specific mRNA codon recognition, and the 3' end, to which the tRNAs corresponding amino acid is attached (by aminoacyl-tRNA synthetases). tRNAs cope with the degeneracy of the genetic code in two manners: having more than one tRNA (with a specific anti-codon) for a particular amino acid; and 'wobble' base-pairing, i.e. permitting non-standard base-pairing at the 3rd anti-codon position. Lineage: Duplodnaviria; Heunggongvirae; Uroviricota; Caudoviricetes. The record is from Rfam by way of RNAcentral.